RNAcentral lists this ribosomal RNA (274 nucleotides) under uncultured bacterium. RNAcentral's name for it is "partial 16S ribosomal RNA". It matches the Rfam family "Bacterial small subunit ribosomal RNA", at positions 524 to 799 of the family's 1533-position model. The record is from RNAcentral.
UACGAAGGGGGCUAGCGUUGUUCGGAAUCACUGGGCGUAAAGCGCACGUAGGCGGAUCUUUAAGUCAGGGGUGAAAUCCCGAGGCUCAACCUCGGAACUGCCUUUGAUACUGGGGAUCUCGAGUCCGGGAGAGGUGAGUGGAACUGCGAGUGUAGAGGUGAAAUUCGUAGAUAUUCGCAAGAACACCAGUGGCGAAGGCGGCUCACUGGCCCGAUACUGACGCUGAGGCACGAAAGCGUGGGGAGCAACAGGAGUAGAACCUAAGUACCUCGAG